GUGACGUCAAGCUUCCAAGAAAAGCCCUAUACCCGUUAAGGCAUCAUGGCCUGUACCCGAAACCGACACAGGUGGGGUGGUAGAGAAUACCGAGGGGCGCGAGGUAACUCUCUCUAAGGAACUCGGCAAAAUGGCCCCGUAACUUCGGGAGAAGGGGUGCCAGCGAGAGCUGGUCGCAGUGAAGAGGCCCAGGCGACUGUUUACCAAAAACACAGGUCUCCGCUAAGUCGCAAGACGAUGUAUGGGGGCUGACGCCUGCCCAGUGCCGGAAGGUUAAGGAAGCUGGUCAGCGCAAGCGAAGCUGGCGACUGAAGCCCCGGUGAACGGCGGCCGUAACAAUAACGGUCCUAAGGUAGCGAAAUUCCUUGUCGGGUAAGUUCCGACCCGCACGAAAGGCGUAACGAUCUGGGCGCUGUCUCGGAGAGAGGCUCGGCGAAAUAGAAUUGUCUGUGAAGAUGCGGACUACGUGCACCCGGACAGAAAGACCCUAUGAAGCUUUACUGUAGCUUGGUAUUGUGCUCGGGCUCGGAAUGCGCAGGAUAGGUGGGAGGCUUGGAUCCAUUGCUUGCGGGUGAUGGUGAGCCACUGGUGAGAUACCACUCUUUUCGAGCUUAAGUUCUAACCCUUACCCGUUAUCCGGGGAGGGGACAGUAUCAGGUGGGCAGUUUGACUGGGGCGGUCGCCUCCUAAAAGGUAACAGAGGCGCGCAAAGGUUCCCUCAGGCUGGUUGGAAAUCAGCCGACGAGUGCAAAGGCAGAAGGGAGCUUGACUGUGAGACCUACAAGUCGAACAGGGACGAAAGUCGGCCUUAGUGAUCCGACGGUUCUGCGUGGAAGGGCCGUCGCUCAACGGAUAAAAGUUACUCUAGGAUAACAGGCUGAUCUCCCCCAAGAGUUCACAUCGACGGGGAGGUUUGGCACCUCGAUGUCGGCUCAUCGCAACCUGGGGCUGAAGUCGGUCCCAAGGGUUGGGCUGUUCGCCCAUUAAAGCGGUACGCGAGCUGGGUUCAGAACGUCGUGAGACAGUUCGGUCCAUAUCCGGUGCACGCGCAGGAAUAUUGAGAGGAUUUCUCCCUAGUACGAGAGGACCGGGAGGAACGCACCUCUGGUGUGCCAGUUAUCGUGCCAACGGUAAACGCUGGGUAGCCAUGUGCGGAGAGGAUAACCGCUGAAAGCAUCUAAGUGGGAAGCCCACCUCAAGAUGAGUAUUCCCAUGGCAUAAGCCAGUAAGGUCACGGGAAGAUUACCCGUUGAUAGGCCCUACGUGGAAGCGCAGUAAUGUGUGAAGCGGAGGGGUACUAAUAGACCGAGGGC
RNAcentral lists this ribosomal RNA (1313 nucleotides) under metagenome. Its description in RNAcentral is "bacterial LSU rRNA". It matches the Rfam family "Bacterial large subunit ribosomal RNA", at positions 1594 to 2912 of the family's 2925-position model. The record is from RNAcentral.